UUUAUUCAGUAACUGGGGUAUGUGUGUGAGAUUUCUUCGUUUUCUAACGAUGGUGCAGUUGUAAUGCAAAUUCAGCCUGACCAGAGUUAAUGGAUAAGAAGCCUGAGGGGAGAGGUUCCCUGGACUUGGUUCUGUGAUCAGAUCCGCCCAGACCUUGAGAUUGAUUGAUUUCAGAGUUCAAGACCUACUUGUUCACUUCAGGGAUGGAUAGCCUGGAUGUAGCAAUGAUCUGCAAUAAAGCAAAGAACACUGUAUUGGAGCAAAAGGCAAGCUAAUAUUCGAGCAGCUCAUAGAUGGCACAUUUGUGUUUGGUACGGUGCCGAGCUUCGGGUUUUAUCAUCUUGACAGAAAACAGUCAAAUGAAUGUGUCUGUUUUUCAUUGAAAUCGACAUCAAAAAUGAAGAAUGGGGCUUGGACUUCACAGAAUCACAGUAUUUCACCGGCACAGAAGAAGGUCGUUUGGUCCAUCGUGUCUGCACCAGCUCUCCAAAUGAGCAUUAUGACCUAGUGCCAUUGCCCUGUCUUUGCCCCGUACCCCUGCACAUUGCUUCUAUUCAAAUAAUCAUCUAAUGCCUACUUGAAAGCCUCAAUUAAACCCGCCUCCACCACACUUCCAGGCAGUGCAUUUCACACCUGAAUCACUCGUUGUGUGAAAAAGUUUUUUCCUCACGUCCCACUUGCUCCUGUUGCAAAUCACUUUCAAUCUGUGCCCUCUCGUUCUUGAUCCUUUUACGAGCAGGAGCAGCUUCUCCCUAUCUACUCUAUCCAGCCCCCUCAUGAUUUUGAACAUCUGUAUCAAAUCUCCUC
Carcharodon carcharias (great white shark) is the source of this 807-nucleotide long non-coding RNA. RefSeq lists it as uncharacterized. The transcript has 3 exons. NCBI's taxonomy places the organism in Eukaryota, Metazoa, Chordata, Chondrichthyes, Lamniformes, Lamnidae. The record is from RefSeq and is a predicted model, not a curated record.